RNAcentral lists this transfer RNA (66 nucleotides) under Staphylococcus aureus 1801-2 2011. RNAcentral's name for it is "partial tRNA-Pro". It matches the Rfam family "tRNA", at positions 6 to 65 of the family's 71-position model. From Rfam's summary of the family: Transfer RNA (tRNA) molecules are approximately 80 nucleotides in length. Their secondary structure includes four short double-helical elements and three loops (D, anti-codon, and T loops). Further hydrogen bonds mediate the characteristic L-shaped molecular structure. tRNAs have two regions of fundamental functional importance: the anti-codon, which is responsible for specific mRNA codon recognition, and the 3' end, to which the tRNAs corresponding amino acid is attached (by aminoacyl-tRNA synthetases). tRNAs cope with the degeneracy of the genetic code in two manners: having more than one tRNA (with a specific anti-codon) for a particular amino acid; and 'wobble' base-pairing, i.e. permitting non-standard base-pairing at the 3rd anti-codon position. The record is from RNAcentral. Lineage: Bacteria; Bacillati; Bacillota; Bacilli; Caryophanales; Staphylococcaceae.
GGAAGUAGCUCAGCUUGGUAGAGCACUUGGUUUGGGACCAAGGGGUCGCAGGUUCGAAUCCUGUCU